GUUUUAUUUCAGGGGGAAACCUAGCUGCUUCUAUGCAACAUGUGUUUUCGACUUAAUUGAUUAUCAUGGCUCAAAAAUCCACACAGCUGAGAGGUUCGCUGUUUUCAGAGUCCAUCCAUUUUCGUUCCUUGUUUUGCCCAUCGUUGCGGGCGGGUCGCAGGGCUAACAGGUUAGUAUCACCAUUUAGCCUGAAACCACGAAAGUCUUGGACUGUGGAGAGCACGGACACUCCACGCAGAAGGGACCGGGCUGGAUUUAAGGUCAGGAGCUUCCACAGUGUGAGUGUUAAACCUGCAGUGAGGGGUGGGACUUGGCUGCCCACGGUCAGACUCUGGACUCGGAAAUCCCUUCCUGCUCUCCACCUGCCGCCGGGCACAGGUUAAUGGAUAAACUUCCUACCUGCUGAACCAACAUCGAGAUCCGUCAGCUGCCCGGAAGAUUCACUUUACCCGAUAAAAGGGCCGUUGGACGAUAACAACAACGACGUUUUAAUGUUCACACACAGGUGUCGGUAACGGGACUCAUGUUUCUGACACGAAAAUCUAAGAAAACCGCUGCGAGCAUAAAAGUAACUUCAGGUUUCCACCGUAACACAGCUCCACUUUUCUUCUGACCACAGUUGGCACACGAAGGACUUCAGGGGGCUUUGCGUCGGGUUAGCACUCGGACAUGGACCGAUACAGGUACUUUAUCUUUAACCAGAAGGGCGUGCUCGGCCUCGGUAUCCUCCAGGUGGCUUGUGCUGGUCUCUGUGUGGUCUGUGGGUUCAUGGACGCUGUUUUUCGCAAGGACACUCCGCUGAGUACCACCAGGACGCCGCUGUGGGGAGGACUGAUCAUGGCCUCUCCAGGUGUGCUGGCGCUGUUUGCCUCCCAGAGGAAGAAACCAGUACUGGUGAGUGUGAUGGUGGUGGCCUCAGGCCUGUCUGUUUUGGCUGCAAUCAUCAUAUCAAGUUACUCCUGUCUGACCCUCACCUAUGGGCAGGAGGAUAAAGAGGUCUUCCAUCACCACAACAGUCCUCAAGUGACGUUUGUGCUUCAUCGGAUGGUGAAGGGCGCCAACGCCACAAUCCUGCUAACCUGCGCCAUCAGCCUGGUUUUCUCCUCUGUCAUCGGCUACAUGGGCUGUCGCAGCAUCCCCUUGUGUGCCUGCUAUGAUGCCAGAACUGGACUGGAGAGCCUGGUUCCUCAGUGUGAUCCCGGGGACACUGAGAUGUGCACCUUGCAGAGUAAGUUUUAAAUGUUAAAUGUCAGUCGAAAACUGGUCCUCCCGUGGAUCCCGUGAUUUUCUCAAUAAUAUUCAAGGAGGAGACAACAGGCUGUUUAACUCUCCAGCUCAAACAACUCACAAAGACGAUCCAGAAGAGGAAUGUUCCUCCAACCUGCCCCCAUACAGCAGACUGACCUGAGACGCAUGCCUGUUGGGGACUUAAUACUCCUGCUUGCUUCCUUCUGACUGCAGGUUCAUUAUAUUUAAAGCUAAAGUCUAUGGGUUUACUUCUGAGCACAGACAGAGGAGGAAUUACAUAAUUCCGGUGAAGCUCAAGCUGCCAAGUCUUGAAAAACUGGACUUUUUACAGUGUCUUUUGGUUAAUGGCCCCUACAGUCAGACUCAUUUAAACUUGCCAAAGCCUGAAUACCUGUGUGUGCAUCGUGUCAGUACUUUCAUGUUUAAUUCUUUUUACUCUGUGUGAAUGACUUUUGCUCUGACUUAAUUUAUGUAAUAUGUAUGCAUUAAAUAAAAACUGGACUGAGCUGUUGGAGAGCUGACUCCACAUAUUGAAA
Oreochromis niloticus (Nile tilapia) is the source of this 1784-nucleotide RNA transcript. RefSeq lists it as uncharacterized. The transcript has 6 exons. NCBI's taxonomy places the organism in Eukaryota, Metazoa, Chordata, Actinopteri, Cichliformes, Cichlidae. The record is from RefSeq and is a predicted model, not a curated record.